UGUCUGCACCAGGCAACUCUCUGUUCUGCUGAGCUUCUGGAGACUUGUUGUGCUAUGUCAUGAGGGACCAUUUGAACUCUUCAGCCACACCCCACACCCUCCAAUAACAGCAGCUGCUCCAUUCAGAAGCCUCUCCAAUUCAAUAGAGAAACCACAUGGUUUUCUACUAAGAACCCAGUCCUGCAGAGUAUUCAGCCACCCUUGACCCUCCACAGAACCAGUGGAGAUGUGCUGUCUUUAUAGCAGAAGAUGGUACAGGAAGCGGUUUGCCUAAGGUCACAGAGCAGCAGCAUCCGCCAGCCACAGCCUCCCCAAAUGCUCCACCCUCAAGCUGCCGUGCAAGUACUGAUUUGGAGAGGAGAUUUAAAGACUCUGGGCCUGGUUCACCAUGGCUUUGCUCCAGCUACGAGCUGUUGUAACGGCAGUGAAAUCAAUGGUGCUGUGCGGACAGAAAGCAGGAGUAAUAGUGGUGAAUUGGAAGCACUGACUUCAGCGCGAGUUGCAUCUACAAACAACAGGGCUGAAUCCAGUACUCAGGGUCUGGGGAAAGAAAGGAGAAAGAUUUUCAGAGAGAUGGUGCAGCACAGUUGUCACCAGUGGGGAGCACAUGCAGCAAAGAGAAACCAUGUGGAUCUACUGGACUAGCAACCAGGGGAAUCAGUUAUUGUCCAGGCUAAGUGGCUUUAAACAAGUCACUUCCCUCCUUUUUCUCUCCUGGUUUAUUUUUUUCCUAGCACAAUGCUACUGUAAUACUCAACUGAGGGUGGUGAAGACCAAGGUACACACGUCAGUUUUCAGGUUUGACAGUCCUUUCCCAACUUUUGGUGAACUGGUUCUUUGCAGACAGACCGUGUUUUUCCAUUAUUUUACCAGAUUUGGGUGCACGAAUGCUAAUGAGAGUGUGCUUUGUAUUUGGCAAGCCCUUGCCCCACCUGAAGACAUUGCUGGGAGGUUUUCCACUGGGCAAGGCUCUGUGGGCUGUGAAUGUCCUCUAAGACCCUCGCGGGGUGACUUGUUACGUAUUGAGGGAGAGAGCAUCUGCAGGGAGUGUUUUCAAAAUAAGCAUCUUGAGGCAGGCUCCUAUGCUGCCCCUCACACGUAGGAGGAACUCCCUGAAAACCUCCACAAAGCCACCCCACUGUCCUCCUUCAAGUACCUCCUAAAACCUUGCUUUUGCCAGGAUGUCUGCAAAAAACUUGACUCCAGUUAGGUAGUCAGGGUGCUGAGACUCCAGCCUAUCAUGCUGCCGAAUAUUGUGUCCUUGUGCUUCCCCAUCUGUCAGUCUGUGUCUACCUGUCGCCUUGUGUCUUAUAUUUAGAUGGCAAAUUCUUUGGGGGCACAGACAGUCUUUUUGCUCUAUGUUUGUACAACACCUAACACAAUAGGGUUCUGCUCCAGGACUGGGGCUUCUUGGUUAUUUAUUUGUAUUGCACAAGUACUAACCCAAUUCUGAAUGUGUUAAGGGAAAGUAAGGAAUAAAGCUGGGUUGGGAGAAGUUCCUAAGACCCUGUUCAUUGGGUUACUUGGCUUCAGGGCUCUAAACACAACAUCCCACUUAAAAUCUGCAUGAGCAGACAGAGUAGCUAGUUUUGAAAGGGUGUUGGACUAUAGGGGAAGCGAGCACAAGCCCCCGUGAAGUGCGUGCCCCCCCCUCCGUGCUGUGACUAAGCCCAGAUACAGAAAGGUUGCAAUGGAGUUAGUCAUUUUAGCUCAAGUGACAGAUGUCAUGGGUCCAGGGCUUGUGGUAGAGGUUGAUUUCAGCACAGAGUCCCAUGGAUACAGCUGCCACCACUGCUAAUUUUCAGUUUUACCACCGCUUAAAUAAAUAAAUGAAAAAAAAAAAGCAGGCUGCCUCUUUAAACCUAUUUCCUAUUAAUCUGCUAUUAAAAUACCAGCCAGAGGGCAAAAUGGAGGGCUCCAUUCUUCAUUCGGAUAGCAAGGGACCUAAAUUGCUCCACUCUUGCAGCUGAAACAAGGUUUUUGUCUAACUCUAGCAGCUGACCUCUGAUCCUUCCUUUGUCCUGUCAAAAGGAACGGAGGUAAAGCUUAGAAGGAAUUCCUCCUUCACUUCCCAGCGUACUUAGUAUUAGUGGACAAGCGUCCAAGUUGUUCCACAUCCUCACUCUCUGCAAACACAUACAACACAAGGAGAGGGGAAGGGGAAAAAUAAGCUUUGGUGUGGUCUGAAUUGUUGAUUUUUUUGUUCAGCAUCGAUUGAGAACCAUUAAUGAGCAGAUUUCAGCAAAUGCAUUUAAGUAUUUGCAAGUGGGGAAGGAUGGUGUGGUUAAAACACUGGAUUCACCUUGGGCAAGUCAUUUAAUCUCUCUGGGCCUCAGCUCCUCCUGUGUAAAAUGUAGAUAAUUUUGCUUUCUCAGUGAUAGAAUAUGACAGUGAUGGGUGCCAUAUAUAGACUGAAUUAGACAAUAUUUCGAUUCUGCUGUCCCUUACAAUGAUUUUGUGCCAGGGCAUCUCCACUGAAGUCCCUGGAGUUACUUCUGAGUCACACCGGUGUAAGCGAGAUCAGAAUCUGAUGUUCAGAGAAAAUUAAGUGGUCUGCCCAAAGGCAUGCUGUAAUUCAUUGUCCAAACCAGGAUUAGAGAUCAAGAAUUGCUGGCUUCUAGCCCUGUAAUAGGCACGCUAUCUCAAGGUAUGGUCAUUAUACCGUCUUCCACCACUAAAAGGCAUCCCGCUCUGGGGGGAAAUGUAGCAGCUGUUUAACAUACAACAUACACAUAACCAGUUACGUAGGAAAGUGAGGAAGAAUCUCAUAUCCAACUGAAAC
Caretta caretta (loggerhead turtle) is the source of this 2782-nucleotide long non-coding RNA. RefSeq lists it as uncharacterized. Lineage: Eukaryota; Metazoa; Chordata; Testudines; Cheloniidae. The record is from RefSeq and is a predicted model, not a curated record.